This is a non-coding RNA of Arthroderma sp. PD_2, 71 nucleotides long. Lineage: Eukaryota; Fungi; Ascomycota; Eurotiomycetes; Onygenales; Arthrodermataceae. The record is from the annotation of a GenBank genome assembly.
AAGAGUAUAAUUUAAUGGUAAAAUAUAGAGCUUCAACCUCCAUUUUCUCAGUUCAAAUCUGAGUGCUCUUG